RNAcentral lists this ribosomal RNA (175 nucleotides) under Giardia duodenalis. Its description in RNAcentral is "Giardia intestinalis partial small subunit ribosomal RNA". The record is from RNAcentral. Lineage: Eukaryota; Fornicata; Diplomonadida; Hexamitidae.
GACGCUCUCCCCAAGGACGAAGCCAUGCWUGCCCGCUCACCCGGGACGCGGCGGACGGCUCAGGACAACGGUUGCACCCCCCGCGGCGGUCCCUGCUAGCCGGACACCGCUGGCAACCCGGCGCCAAGACGUGCGCGCAAGGGCGGGCGCCCGCGGGCGAGCCAGCGUGACGCAG